GACGUAGGGCGCGAGCGUUGUCCGGAAUUAUUGGGCGUAAAGAGCUCGUAGGCGGUGUGUCACGUCGGCCGUGAAAACUUGCAGCUUAACUGUGGGCGUGCGGUCGAUACGGGCAUCACUGGAGUUCGGCAGGGGAGACUGGAAUUCCUGGUGUAGCGGUGAAAUGCGCAGAUAUCAGGAGGAACACCGGUGGCGAAGGCGGGUCUCUGGGCCGAUACUGACGCUGAGGAGCGAAAGCGUGGGGAGCAAACAGG
This 254-nucleotide ribosomal RNA is filed under the name uncultured bacterium. RNAcentral's name for it is "partial 16S ribosomal RNA". It matches the Rfam family "Bacterial small subunit ribosomal RNA", at positions 524 to 776 of the family's 1533-position model. The record is from RNAcentral.